RNAcentral lists this unclassified non-coding RNA (335 nucleotides) under uncultured bacterium. RNAcentral describes it as "contains 16S-23S intergenic spacer region". The record is from RNAcentral.
AAAUACUCCUCACAAAACUGAGAUUCAUACUGAAGUAUACAGCAAAAACUUGAUAUGCAUACAAUAUACCUAACAAUCUAUUGUAAAAACUUGUACAGUUAAAGAUGGUGAGCAUUAAUUACUAUAUAAACCAAAAAUUAAAGUGAAGAUCGCAACAAUGAAAUUGAUAUUUCAAUAAUUAGAAGAUGAUGGCAAGUGAAAACUUACAAAUGGGCAAUGAUGAUCCAUGUCCAGAACACAUUUUCUACAAGAACGACAAUGAUGAGCUCUAGGUGACUUUGGCUUUGAGCAGUAGUGACAGUAUGUAUAAUUUUCAAGGUCAUCUUUCCCUACAG